Long non-coding RNA from Solenopsis invicta (red fire ant), 795 nucleotides. RefSeq lists it as uncharacterized. The transcript has 2 exons. The record is from RefSeq and is a predicted model, not a curated record. NCBI's taxonomy places the organism in Eukaryota, Metazoa, Arthropoda, Insecta, Hymenoptera, Formicidae.
CUGAAACAAGUUAUAGUAUCUCAUUUUAUAUGUCUUACAAAUUUAACAAAGAGAUCAAAUUAAUAAAAAACUUUUAAAAAGAAUAAACUAUAAUACAAAAAUAAAUUGUAUCUAACAAUAAAACAAAAAGUUAUAUUCUGCAUAAUGCUGCUAUUCAAUCUUGACUUGCAGAACAUAUUAAUACACAAAGAGUAAUUCUUAUCAAGUAAGAAAUUACCUGACUCAGAGACAUCAGAGUCUUGAUUAUCCAGCUGCUGCUGCAUAGGCUAUUACCCACAGCAUCACCCUUCAACACUUCCAAUUCCUCCUCGUUGACAUCCUCAAGUGAGUGAUCACGUAUUCGUGACGUUUUCACCUUCGAAGAUGCACACGUGUACACGCAAAGGUAAAGAAGAGCAUUGAUACAGAUGGUAUUACAAGACAUUUUGUACUAUUUCCAUUGGCACCUGCAUAGUCUGGUCAUCGACGAGAACGAUAUCAUAAUUUUCCAUGAACGAGUCUAAGCUGGCCUCCACCUAAAGAACAGAAUUAUUACAGAUUAGUCAUCACGUAUUAGUCAUCAUUAUUUCAGCAGUAGUUUAUAAGCUGGAGAAAACAGAAAAUAGAAAUAUUUAUUGCGUCUACAAUAUUAUUUGAUAAUUAUUUCAUAAUUAUAAAACAUUAUUUUAUGUGUGAAAAAUAUUUGAAAUAAGUAUUUUGUGUAGAAAAUAUAUAAAAAACAAAUAAUAUUUAACAUUAAUAUUUCAUGGCUAUAUAAAUGUAACUCAUUUUUCUAUAAACAUGUUUCAAAACAUA